GGUAUGCAGAAAAUUCUAGGGGGUACGCCUUAUUUCUCUUCAAAAUACUUUGUCCUCUCGCAUGCACAAAUUUAUAACUAAAAAACAAAAUUUGGGCGAAAUUUUUUUAACUGGCUACUCUACAUUAUAGAAACCUGGCAACUCUGCUUCAAGUCUAGUGGUCUAGUCAUUCUAGUCAUCAGUGCGCAAUGCAACUGUACAUACACAAUGCAAUUGUAUUGGUUAGCGAGGUCGUGUGUCAUUGUAGAGUGAAUUUAAUUGUAAUUGUGUGCAGAUAGUGGUGUGUAUUACAAAAAGUUUUAAUUACUAUUGAGUUUAGACUCUUCAUAAAUGGGUAAAUGGCUAAAAACAUUGCCUGCAAAGAAGCCGCAGGUUGAAUAUUCUGAUGUUGCAUCUACUUCAGGCGCACAACAAGAAAACUGUAUUAACCCUACAAUGUGUAAAAAAACAUUAAGCCAUAAAAUUCGAAACUAUCAAGCAGAUUUUUUAAAAUUUGGUUUUACAGUUAAAGUAGUCAACCAUGAAUCUCUUCCUAUUAUGUUAUGAAAUUCAAUCACAUUGUUCUCAUC
RNAcentral lists this long non-coding RNA (569 nucleotides) under Androctonus crassicauda. The record is from RNAcentral. Lineage: Eukaryota; Metazoa; Arthropoda; Arachnida; Scorpiones; Buthidae.